UGCCCCCUUCCUUGCCCACAUCCCAUUUCCAGCCCCUGGAGGAGAGCUUCCAGCGGCCCCAGACAGAGGUCAGAUGGCCGUGGGCAUCCCGUCCCUGCUCACCUGCCAGCCCAGGGACUUCUCAGCCUCCCUGAGCCAUCCAGGGGCACAUGCGUCCAGAACCAGCUGCCAGCAUGGUCCGUGACCCCAGACCGCCUCUCUCCCAUCCCUGCACCAGCACCCUCUAUCCCCACUCACGCUCCUCUGAGCCAGUGCAGGGGGUCGGCCCCCAUGUGUGAGCUAUGCAGAAAGUCCUGCCUCGGGUCCCCUGGGGGACCACAGGGGAAGGGAACGGAAGGAACUAGAACACGGGGAGCUCUUCACCCGGAAUUAAGCUGGAGCCCAAGGAUAGAGCUGUGAACGAGACGGACAGUUCCCUGGCUGUGCGGUGGCUGACACCCCAGCUGUGGGGGCCUGUGACGGUCUGGAAGGAGACGAGAGACAAAAACACGCGUGCCCUGGGGCACGAUGGGGUGAUGCAUUUUCGGCAGCCUGGGAGCUGGUCGGCGAGCCACGUCAGGGCGGCCCCGCUGGUCGGGGGUGGGGGGUGGCGGUCCAGAAAGCACCCACGGGUGGCGUUUCUGGAUCAUAGGAG
Lutra lutra (Eurasian river otter) is the source of this 634-nucleotide long non-coding RNA. RefSeq lists it as uncharacterized. NCBI's taxonomy places the organism in Eukaryota, Metazoa, Chordata, Mammalia, Carnivora, Mustelidae. The transcript is spliced from 3 exons. The record is from RefSeq and is a predicted model, not a curated record.